GGGGGCGGGUUGUUCGGGAUUAUUGGGCGUAAGGGCGCGUAGGCGGUGCGGUAAGUCACCUGUGAAAUCUCCUGGCUCAACUGGGAGUCUGCAGGCGAAACUGCCGUGCUGGAGUGUGGGAGAGGCCAGUGGAAUUGCAGGUGUAGCGGUGAAAUGCGUAGAUAUCUGCAGGAACACCCGUGGCGAAGGCGGCUGGCUGGACCGCAACUGACACUGAGGAACGAAAGCUAGGGGAGCAAACAGGAUUAGAUACCCUGGUAGUCCUAGCCCUAAACCAUCAGGACUUGGGGUGGCUCGCGUAGGCGAGUCGUCCCGUAGCUAACGCGUUAAGUCCUGCGCCUGGGGAGUACGGUCGCAAGACUGAAACUCAAAGGAAUUGACGGGGGCCCGCACAAGCGGUGGAACAUGUGGUUCAAUUCGACGCAACGCGAAGAACCUUACCUGGGCUUGAACCGCUACGGACCAACGGUAGAAAUAUCGUCUUCCCGCAAGGGACCGUAGUAGAGGUGCUGCAUGGCUGUCGUCAGCUCGUGCCGUGAGGUGUUGGGUUAAGUCCCUUAACGAGCGAAACCCUUGUCGCUAGUUGCCAGCGGGUAAUGCCGGGGACUCUAGCGAGACUGCCGGUGUUAAACCGGAGGAAGGCGGGGACGACGUCAAGUCCUCAUGGCCUUUAUGACCAGGGCUGCACACGUCCUACAAUGGCACGUACAAAGCGAAGCGAACCUGCGAGGGCGAGCAAAUCGCAAAAAGCGUGCCCCAGUUCGGAUUGCAGGCUGCAACCCGCCUGCAUGAAGCCGGAAUCGCUAGUAAUCGCGGGUCAGCAUACCGCGGUGAGUGUGUUCCUGAGCCUUGUACACACCGCCCGUCAAGCCACGAAAGUGGGGGGCAUCCGAAGUCGCCGUGGUAACCCGCAAGGGAGCUAAGCGCCGAAGAUGAACUCCGCGAUUGGGACUAAGUCGUAACAAGGUAAC
Molecule: ribosomal RNA, 971 nt
Filed under: uncultured bacterium
Lineage: Bacteria
Description: bacterial SSU rRNA
Rfam family: Bacterial small subunit ribosomal RNA
Source: RNAcentral